GAUGAAGAACGUAGCGAAAUGCGAUACUUGGUGUGAAUUGCAGAAUCCCGUGAACCAUCGAGUCUUUGAACGCAAGUUGCGCCCGAAGCCAUUAGGCCGAGGGCACGCCUGCCUGGGCGUCACACGUCGUUGCCCCCCCAUCUACUCCUUCGGGAUUGCGGGGGGCGGAUGAUGGCCUCCCGUGCGCCUCGUCGCGCGGUUGGCAUAAAUGCCAAGUCCUCGGCGACGCACGCCACGACAAUCGGUGGUUGCGAAACCUCGGUUGCCAGUCGUGUGCGGUCGUCGCGCAUCGAGGGCUCGAAAAAAUUGCCGGGCUCCGGCUCGGCUUUCAACGCGACCCCAGGUCAGGCGGGGUUACCCGCUGAAUUUAAGCAUAUCAAUAAGCGGAGGA
This 391-nucleotide unclassified non-coding RNA is filed under the name soil metagenome. RNAcentral describes it as "partial contains 5.8S ribosomal RNA, internal transcribed spacer 2, and large subunit ribosomal RNA". The stretch from base 1 to 122 matches the Rfam family "5.8S ribosomal RNA", at positions 35 to 154 of the family's 154-position model. The record is from RNAcentral.